Molecule: long non-coding RNA, 882 nt
Organism: Carya illinoinensis
Lineage: Eukaryota; Viridiplantae; Streptophyta; Magnoliopsida; Fagales; Juglandaceae
Exons: 3
Source: RefSeq, a predicted model, not a curated record
UAUAUAUAUAUAUAUAUAUAUAUGUACGUUUAGAUAAGGGAUCGAGUUUUCACAUACUGUCAAGCAAUGGCUUUUAGAAAAGCAAAUAUACUUGGGUUAGAGGAGUAAAAGACACACUCUAGAUAAUGAACGUGACGGGCGGAGGUCUCUAGACAUGGGCAUGUGGCUAAAGCUGGCAUGAAGAUUAUUAAAGAGGAGAGGAUCAGGCUUUUUAUUCUUUGAGCAGAGAAGAUCAGAUUUGCAGCUGCGGAGAACAUGCAGAAGAUGAUGAUGACAAGCUAGUGAAGGGUUGCAAUGGUUGUAAUUCUCUUUACCAUCUAUCGACCACCAAUCACUAUCUUAGAUUCAAAUUUCAAUAUGAGCUUAAACAACUCCUUAAAUUUAGAGUUAGGAUGCAGACGGAGUGUCUGGGACUCGGAAACAGAAUUGAAAAGAAAGCCGCAUAUUUGCAAGAACUGGAGGAACAAACACGACCUCGUGCAACUUUCGAGGUGGAAAUAUCAAAGGAUAUGCAGCUGGUGCAUUUUGACUUCAACAGGUAAUGAGCCAUCUGAGCAUUCUGAUUUUGCUCUCUAGAGAAAAACCUUCCAAGUAAAAGCUUGAUAAUGCUUCCAUUGCAACUGCUUUCACUACUGAUGUUAUUAUUUUGUCCCCUCUUAACAGCUGGACAGACUAUGUUGAAAGUGGUUUAAUUUUGCAUUUCAUGGUUGUGUUGGUUGUUGUGUAUAGAAUUUUAAUGGAUGGUGGAUUUAAAUUUAUGUGUGUAUAUUGAUUGGUAUGUCACAAUUUGGACAUGUUUUGUGUGUACCUUGUUCAGGUGGUUUGGAUAUUGAUUGGUUGUUCAUGUUUUGACUUCAAUUUUAGUUACAUUAUUUUGAAACA